RNAcentral lists this ribosomal RNA (484 nucleotides) under uncultured bacterium. RNAcentral describes it as "partial 16S ribosomal RNA". It matches the Rfam family "Bacterial small subunit ribosomal RNA", at positions 30 to 507 of the family's 1533-position model. The record is from RNAcentral.
AUUGAACGCUGGCGGCAGGCCUAACACAUGCAAGUCGAGCGGAUGAAGGGAGCUUGCUCCUGGAUUCAGCGGCGGACGGGUGAGUAAUGCCUAGGAAUCUGCCUGGUAGUGGGGGAUAACGUCCGGAAACGGGCGCUAAUACCGCAGACGUCCUGAGGGAGAAAGUGGGGGAUCUUCGGACCUCACGCUAUCAGAUGAGCCUAGGUCGGAUUAGCUAGUUGGUGGGGUAAAGGCCUACCAAGGCGACGAUCCGUAACUGGUCUGAGAGGAUGAUCAGUCACACUGGAACGUAGACACGGUCCAGGCUCCUGAGGGAGGCAGCAGUGGGGAAUAGUGGACAGUGGGCGGAAGCCUGAUCCAGCCAUGCCACGUGUGUGAAGAAGGUCUUCGGAUUGUAAAGCACUUUAAGUUGGGAGGAAGGGCAGUAGGUUAAUACCUUGCUGUUUUGACGUUACCAACAGAAUAAGCACCGGCUAACUUCGUG